RNAcentral lists this unclassified non-coding RNA (387 nucleotides) under soil metagenome. RNAcentral describes it as "partial contains 5.8S ribosomal RNA, internal transcribed spacer 2, and large subunit ribosomal RNA". The stretch from base 1 to 120 matches the Rfam family "5.8S ribosomal RNA", at positions 35 to 154 of the family's 154-position model. The record is from RNAcentral.
GAUGAAGAACGCAGCGAAAUGCGAUAAGUAAUGUGAAUUGCAGAAUUCAGUGAAUCAUCGAAUCUUUGAACGCACCUUGCGCUCCUUGGUAUUCCGAGGAGCAUGCCUGUUUGAGUGUCAUGAAAUUCUCAACCUUUUCAGCUUUCUUUGUUGAUCAGGCUUGGAUGUGGGAGUAUGCGGGCUUCUCAGAAGUCGGCUCUCCUGAAAUGCAUUAGCGGGACCUUUGUUGCCUGGCUUUGGUGUGAUAAUUAUCUACGCCAUUGUAGUCAAGCAGCUUAAAAUGAGGUUUCAGCUUCUAACCGUCUCCCCUGAGACAACUUUUUGACAAUUUGACCUCAAAUCAGGCAGGACUACCCGCUGAACUUAAGCAUAUCAAUAAGCGGAGGA